CGGGAUGUGGCGCAGUCAGGUAGCGCACUAGUCUGGGGGACUAGGAGUCGCUGGUUCGAAUCCAGUCAUCCCGACCA
RNAcentral lists this transfer RNA (77 nucleotides) under Tissierellia bacterium. Its description in RNAcentral is "tRNA-Pro". It matches the Rfam family "tRNA". From Rfam's summary of the family: Transfer RNA (tRNA) molecules are approximately 80 nucleotides in length. Their secondary structure includes four short double-helical elements and three loops (D, anti-codon, and T loops). RNAcentral also lists the same sequence under 1 other name. Lineage: Bacteria; Bacillati; Bacillota; Tissierellia. The record is from RNAcentral.